GAUGAACGCUGGCGGCGUGCCUAAUACAUGCAAGUCGAGCGAACGGACGAGAAGCUUGCUUUUCUGAUGUUAGCGGCGGACGGGUGAGUAACACGUGGAUAACCUACCUAUAAGACUGGGAUAACUUCGGGAAACCUGAGCUAAUACCGGAUAAUAUUUUGAACCGCAUGGUUCAAAAGUGAAAGACGGUCUUGCUGUCACUUAUAGAUGGAUCCGCGCUGCAUUAGCUAGUUGGUAAGGUAACGGCUUACCAAGGCAACGAUGCAUAGCCGACCUGAGAGGGUGAUCGGCAACACUGGAACUGAGACACGGUCCAGACUCCUACGGGAGGCAGCAGUAGGGAAUCUUCCGCAAUGGGCGAAAGCCUGACGGAGCAACGCUGCGUGAGUGAUGAAGGUCUUCGGAUCGUAAAACUCUGUUAUUAGGGAAGAACAUAUGUGUAAGUAACUGUGCACAUCUUGACGAUACCUAAUCAGAAAGCCACGGCUAACUACGUG
Molecule: ribosomal RNA, 497 nt
Filed under: uncultured bacterium
Lineage: Bacteria
Description: partial 16S ribosomal RNA
Rfam family: Bacterial small subunit ribosomal RNA
Source: RNAcentral